RNAcentral lists this unclassified non-coding RNA (253 nucleotides) under Candidatus Yanofskyibacteriota bacterium. Its description in RNAcentral is "Candidatus Yanofskybacteria bacterium contains 16S-23S intergenic spacer region". It matches the Rfam family "Bacterial small subunit ribosomal RNA", at positions 524 to 776 of the family's 1533-position model. Lineage: Bacteria; Candidatus Yanofskyibacteriota. The record is from RNAcentral.
UACGAAGGCCCCAAGCGUUAUCCGGAAUCACUGGGCGUAAAGCGUACGCAGCCGGUCCGGCUAGUCUGAUGUUAAAUCUCUCCGCCCAACGGGGAGGCCGCAUCGGAAACGGUUGGACUCGAGCCGGUAAGGGGGAGACGGAACGUGCGGUGUAGGGGUGAAAUCCGUUGAUAUCGCACGGAACACCAAAAGCGAAAGCAGUCUCCUGGUGCUGUGCUGACGGUCAUGUACGAAAGCGUGGGUAGCAAACAGG